CAGCCGCGUAAUUCCAGCUCCAAUAGCGUAUAUUAAAGUUGUUGCAGUUAAAAAGCUCGUAGUUGAAUUUCGGGAUUGACACAUCGGUCGUGCCUUAAGGGGUAUGAACUGGUGUAGUCAAUUUCUCACCUUCUGGAGAACCGCGAUGCCCUUAAUUGGGUGCCGCGGGGAACCAGGACCUUUACUUUGAAAAAAUUAGAGUGUUUAAAGCAGGCAUUUUGCUUGAAUACAUUAGCAUGGAAUAAUAAAAUAGGACGGCAUGAUUCUAUUUUGUUGGUUUCUAGGAUCACCGUAAUGAUUAAUAGGGAUAGUUGGGGGCAUUAGUAUUCAAUUGUCAGAGGUGAAAUUCUUGGAUUUAUUGAAGACUAACUACUGCGAAAGCAUUUGCCAAGGAUGUUUUCAUUAAUCAAGAACGAAAGUUAGGGGAUCGAAGACGAUCAGAUACCGUCGUAGUCUUAACCAUAAACUAUGCCGACUAGGAAUCAGACGAUGUUAAUUUUUUAAUGACUCGUUUGGCACCUUACA
This 525-nucleotide unclassified non-coding RNA is filed under the name uncultured Glomeromycotina. Its description in RNAcentral is "SSU rRNA". It matches the Rfam family "Eukaryotic small subunit ribosomal RNA", at positions 571 to 1092 of the family's 1831-position model. The record is from RNAcentral. Lineage: Eukaryota; Fungi; Glomeromycota.